Molecule: ribosomal RNA, 274 nt
Filed under: uncultured bacterium
Lineage: Bacteria
Description: partial 16S ribosomal RNA
Rfam family: Bacterial small subunit ribosomal RNA
Source: RNAcentral
AUACGGAGGGCGCAAGCGUUGUUCGGAAUUACUGGGCGUAAAGCGCGUGUAGGCGGCUUGGCAAGUCGGGUGUGAAAUCCCGGGGCUCAACCCCGGAACUGCAUUCGAAACUGCCUGGCUAGAGUCCCGGAGAGGAAGGCGGAAUUCCCGGUGUAGAGGUGAAAUUCGUAGAUAUCGGGAGGAACACCAGCGGCGAAGGCGGCCUUCUGGACGGUGACUGACGCUGAGACGCGAAAGCGUGGGGAGCAAACAGGAUUAGAAACCCCGGUAGUCC